UCUAGGAUGAUUCUAUAUCUCUGAAAUCAUGAUUAAAAGAGGAUCACAAAAUUGAGAUGAUUUUUAAAAUGGUAUUCUUUGGUUAAUUGAGAUAUAUGAAAAAAUGCAUGCAUGUGUAGUGGAUAUGGAUUUCGUAACCUUGGUACAGAAUAUGAGCAUGUUAGGAUGAGUUUUGAUUUAUAAAAGCCCAUGUGAGAUAUUUGAGCCAUGUCCCUUUUUCUUGGAGUGAUAAUUGAAAAAUAUAUUCUUAAUUUCUUGGCGAUGUUUUGAUGAUCUCAUUAUUCUUUCCUCUUGAUUGACUACUUGCCAUAGAUUAAGUUUGAUGGACUAGAGAAUGCUAGAAUUCACUCUUGUGCUUGUUGAAACGUUAUAUCAAUACAUGGCCCUGAUUCUGGAAAGGAUAGAGGCAACCUAGGAAUUACCACCAUUGCCAAAUAAGCAUGUGUCCCUAUUUGUGCCCGUCGUGGGACUCCCUUAGAUAAACCCCUUUGAGCUUACAUUAAGCCUUUUCUUUCAUCACCCUUAAAUCCUUAACCCUGAACCUUAGUAUAGCUACACUCCUACCCUUUGUUCUAAAAACUUAGCGGAGCUAUAUUUUGGGACUUUACUUGAGGAUUUGGCAUUGAGAAAGAAGAUUGAGAAGAGGUGAAAGUUCAAGUGUAGGGGUAGACUUGUCCAUAAAGAAAAAAAUAUGUGAAAGCCGUGAAAAAUGAAAAGAAAAGAAAAAAAAAAAUUGUGCACGGCUAGAAAAGAAAAGAAAAAAUGUAUAUGGAUUUUAGUCCUCCAUACUUGGUGAGUUUGGAGUUUGUUUUGAAUUGAAGACCCACUAUUGGAAAAUUUGGUCUUUGUCCAAUUCACUAGUUCGAGGGAAGUUUAGAGUGAAGAUUGGGCCUAACAUGAAGACAUUUGGCCCUUUCAUAAAACCUCUAUGGGAUGUGACGUUUUGAUAUAUCUUGGUGGAUUUCUAGAAGUCUCUACAUCUACAUGAGCUCUGCUAGGUUUUUAGGACACUUUGUGAAAUUCCUUACCUUUCGUUUCUUAAAACCUUGAGCCUUGGCCCCAUUACAACCCUAAAUAAGACCUUCUUGAUCCUUAAGAUGGGACAGCCUUUGAUUUGUGGAGAUGAGUUACAAGAGUUGAACCUAUGGCUUGGGUCCAUCCGUGCAAGAGAUUUCUGA
This 1178-nucleotide long non-coding RNA is filed under the name Rosa chinensis. RNAcentral describes it as "sRNA RchiOBHm_Chr2g0130741". The record is from RNAcentral. Lineage: Eukaryota; Viridiplantae; Streptophyta; Magnoliopsida; Rosales; Rosaceae.